UACGUAGGUGGCAAGCGUUAUCCGGAAUUAUUGGGCGUAAAGAGCGCGCAGGUGGUUGAUUAAGUCUGAUGUGAAAGCCCACGGCUUAACCGUGGAGGGUCAUUGGAAACUGGUCGACUUGAGUGCAGAAGGGGGAAGUGGAAUUCCAUGUGUAGCGGUGAAAUGCGUAGAGAUAUGGAGGAACACCAGUGGCGAAGGCGGCUUCCUGGUCUGUAACUGACACUGAGGCGCGAAAGCGUGGGGAGCAAACAGGAUUAGAUACCCG
RNAcentral lists this ribosomal RNA (265 nucleotides) under uncultured prokaryote. RNAcentral's name for it is "partial 16S ribosomal RNA". It matches the Rfam family "Bacterial small subunit ribosomal RNA", at positions 524 to 788 of the family's 1533-position model. The record is from RNAcentral.